UACGAAGGGGGCUAGCGUUGCUCGGAAUCACUGGGCGUAAAGCGCACGUAGGCGGGUCCUUAAGUCGGGGGUGAAAUCCCGGAGCUCAACUCCAGAACUGCCUUUGAUACUGAGGAUCUUGAGUUCGGGAGAGGUGAGUGGAACUGCGAGUGUAGAGGUGAAAUUCGUAGAUAUUCGCAAGAACACCAGUGGCGAAGGCGGCUCACUGGCCCGAUACUGACGCUCAGACACGAAAGCUAGGGGAGCGAACGGG
This 253-nucleotide ribosomal RNA is filed under the name uncultured bacterium. Its description in RNAcentral is "partial 16S ribosomal RNA". It matches the Rfam family "Bacterial small subunit ribosomal RNA", at positions 524 to 776 of the family's 1533-position model. The record is from RNAcentral.